UCAAGCGACUAAGUGCAUGUGGUGGAUGCCUUGGCGAUCACAGGCGAUGAAGGACGCGGCAGUCUGCGAAAAGCCCCGGGGAGCUGACAACGAGCUUUGAUCCGGGGGUCUCCGAAUGAGGGAACUCCAAGCUUUAGCUUGAUCCAUGCGUGAAUACAUAGCGCAUGGAGGCGAACGCGGCGAACUGAAACAUCUCAGUAGCUGCAGGAAAAGAAAUCAACCGAGAUUCCGGAAGUAGCGGCGAGCGAAACCGGAACAGCCUGAAUUCGAUAUUGAGAAGAACACUGGAAGAGUCUGGAAAGGCUCGCCAUAGUGGGUGAUAGCCCCGUACGGGACGUUCAUCUCAAGGUACUGAGGAUUCGAAAAGUAGGUCGGGGCACGUGAAACCCUGGCUGAACAUGGGGGGACCAUCCUCCAAGGCUAAAUACUCGUGAUCGACCGAUAGCGUACUAGUACUGUGAAGGAAAGGUUAAAAGAACCCCGGGAGGGGAGUGAAAUAGAUUCUGAAACCGCAUGCAUACAAACAGUAGGAGCCCUUCGGGGUGACUGCGUACCUUUUGCAUAAUGGGUCAGCGACUUAUGUUAUGUGGCAAGCCUAACCGACUAGGGGAGGCGCAGCGAAAGCGAGUCCGAACAGGGCGAUUCAGUCGCAUGGCAUAGACCCGAAACCAGAUGAGCUAACCAUGGCCAGGCUGAAGGUGUGGUAACACACACUGGAGGGCCGAACCUACUGGUGUUGCAAAACCAGAGGAUGAGCUGUGGUUAGGGGUGAAAGGCUUAACAAAUCUGGAGAUAGCUGGUUCUCCCCGAAAACUAUUGAGGUAGUGCCUUGCGCAUGAGCUUCUGGGGGUAGAGCACUGUUAUAGCUAGGGGGACAUGGCGUCUUACCAAACUAUGGCAAACUCCGAAUACCAGAAAGCUUCGCGCAGGAGACAGAGCACCGGGUGCUAACGUCCGGACUCAAAAGGGAAUCAACCCAGACCGCCAGCUAAGGUCCCUAAUAUCAGCUAAGUGGAAAACGAAGUGGAAAGGCUAAAACAGUCAGGAAGUUGGCUUAGAAGCAGCCAUCCUUCAAAGAAAGCGUAAUAGCUCACUGAUCGAGUCCUUCCGCGCGGAAGAUGUAACGGGGCUAAGUUGAUAACCGAAGCUGCGGAUUCACACUUUGAGUGUGAGUGGUAGGGGAGCGUUCUGUAAGCCUGUGAAGGUGGAUCGUAAGGUCUGCUGGAGGUAUCAGAAGUGCGAAUGCUGACAUGAGUAACGAUAAAGCGGGUGAAAAGCCCGCUCGCCGCAAACCCAAGGUUUCCUGCUCUACGUUAAUCGGAGCAGGGUGAGUCGGUUCCUAAGGCCAGGCUGAGAAGCGUAGCUGAUGGAAAUCAGGUUAAUAUUCCUGAACCGGCGUUGAAUGCGAUGGGGUGACGGAGCAGCCAGAGUGGACCGGGUGUUGGAUGUCCCGGCUUCCGAGCGAUGGGUGCCUGCAGGCAAAUCCGCAGGCGUAUACCCAGGACGAAGGAUCGGGCCUUCUUUUGAAGGCGAAGCCACUGGAAGCGCUUCCAGGAAAAACCUCUAAGCUUCAGUUCAACGGCGACCGUACCGUAAACCGACACAGGUGGGUGAGCUGAAUAUGCUCAGGCGCUUGAGAGAACUCGGGAGAAGGAACUCGGCAAAUUGACACCGUAACUUCGGAAGAAGGUGUGCCGUAGUACCGUGAGAGGAGAGACACCUUGAGCGGGAAUCGGUCUCAGAGAAUAGGUGGCUGCGACUGUUUAUUAAAAACACAGCACUCUGCAAAGUCGAAAGACGACGUAUAGGGUGUGAUGCCUGCCCGGUGCUGGAAGAUUAAUUGAUGGGGUGAGAGCCCUUGAUCGAAGUCCCAGUAAACGGCGGCCGUAACUAUAACGGUCCUAAGGUAGCGAAAUUCCUUGUCGGGUAAGUUCCGACCUGCACGA
Molecule: ribosomal RNA, 1946 nt
Filed under: human gut metagenome
Description: bacterial LSU rRNA
Rfam family: Bacterial large subunit ribosomal RNA
Source: RNAcentral